AUUGAACGCUGGCGGCAUGCCUUACGCAUGCAAGUCGAACGGCAGCACGGGUGCUUGCACCUGGUGGCGAGUGGCGAACGGGUGAGUAAUACAUCGGAACGUACCUUAUCGUGGGGGAUAACGCAGCGAAAGCUGUGCUAAUACCGCAUACGCCCUGAGGGGGAAAGCGGGGGAUCGCAAGACCUCGCGCGAUUAGAGCGGCCGAUGCCUGAUUAGCUAGUUGGUGGGGUAAAAGCCCACCAAGGCGACGAUCAGUAGCUGGUCUGAGAGGACGAGCAGCCACACUGGGACUGAGACACGGCCCAGACUCCUACGGGAGGCAGCAGUGGGGAAUUUUGGACAAUGGGGGCAACCCUGAUCCAGCAAUGCCGCGUGAGUGAAGAAGGCCUUCGGGUUGUAAAGCUCUUUUGUCAGGGAAGAAACACCGGCUCUAACACAGUCCGGGAAUGACGGUACCUGAAGAAUAAGCACCGGCUAACUACGUGCCAGCCGCCGCGGUAA
Molecule: ribosomal RNA, 501 nt
Filed under: uncultured bacterium
Lineage: Bacteria
Description: partial 16S ribosomal RNA
Rfam family: Bacterial small subunit ribosomal RNA
Source: RNAcentral